GCGUUGUCCGGAAUUAUUGGGCGUAAAGCGCGCGMAGGCGGUUMMUUAAGUCUGAUGUGAAAGCCCCCGGCUNAACCGGGGAGGGUUMUUGGAAACUGGGGAACUUGAGUGCAGAAGAGAAGAGUGGAAUUCCACGUGUAGCGGUGAAAUGCGUAGAGAUGUGGAGGAACACCAGUGGCGAAGGCGACUCUUUGGUCUGUAACUGUAGCAGAGGCGCGAAAGCGUGGGGAGCAAACAGGAUUAGWUACCCUGGUAGUCCNCGCCGUAAACGAUGAGUGCUAAGUGUUAGAGGGUUUCCGCCCUUUAGUGCWGCAGCAAACGCAUUAAGCACUCCGCCUGGGGNGUNCGGCCGCAAGGCANAAACUCAAAGGAAUUGWCGGNGGCCCGCACAAGCGGUGGAGCAUGUG
RNAcentral lists this ribosomal RNA (407 nucleotides) under Bacillus sp. BDP-96-2_3-2. RNAcentral's name for it is "partial 16S ribosomal RNA". It matches the Rfam family "Bacterial small subunit ribosomal RNA", at positions 538 to 943 of the family's 1533-position model. The record is from RNAcentral. Lineage: Bacteria; Bacillati; Bacillota; Bacilli; Caryophanales; Bacillaceae.